Molecule: ribosomal RNA, 472 nt
Filed under: uncultured soil bacterium
Lineage: Bacteria
Description: bacterial SSU rRNA
Rfam family: Bacterial small subunit ribosomal RNA
Source: RNAcentral
AGGACGAACGCUGGCGGCGUGCUUAACACAUGCAAGUCGAGCGGUAAGGCCUUUCGGGGUACACGAGCGGCGAACGGGUGAGUAACACGUGGGUGAUCUGCCCUGCACUCUGGGAUAAGCCUGGGAAACUGGGUCUAAUACCGGAUAUGACCUGCUCUCGCAUGGGGGUGGGUGGAAAGAUUUAUCGGUGCAGGAUGGGCCCGCGGCCUAUCAGCUUGUUGGUGGGGUAAUGGCCUACCAAGGCGACGACGGGUAGCCGACCUGAGAGGGUGACCGGCCACACUGGGACUGAGACACGGCCCAGACUCCUACGGGAGGCAGCAGUGGGGAAUAUGCACAAUGGGCGAAAGCCUGAUGCAGCGACGCCGCGUGAGGGAUGAAGGCCUUCGGGUUGUAAACCUCUUUCAGCAGGACGAAGCGCAAGUGACGGUACCUGCAGAAGAAGCACCGGCUAACUACGUGCAGCAGCCGC